GGCUCGUAGUCGAUCUCGAUGGCGGCGAGCGCGUCGACCGCGCUGGCCCGGUCGCGGGCCACCACGACGGCGACCGCCUCGCCGACGUGCCGC
RNAcentral lists this transfer RNA (93 nucleotides) under Phytohabitans rumicis. Its description in RNAcentral is "tRNA-Ser". Lineage: Bacteria; Bacillati; Actinomycetota; Actinomycetes; Micromonosporales; Micromonosporaceae. The record is from RNAcentral.